CCAAGCGAUGGGGUGACGCAGGAAGGUAGCUGGGCCAGUCGGUGGUUGUACUGGUGUAAGAGUGUAGGCCGUGACAUAGGCAAAUCCGUGUCACAUUAAGGCUGAGACUUGAUGCAUACCCGUUGUGGGGAAUUCAGUGAUCCUAUGCUGCCGAGAAAAGCCUCUAGUGAGUUCAUACACGGCCCGUACCCCAAACCGACACAGGUGAUCAGGUAGAGAAUACCAAGGCGAUCGAGAGAACUGUGGUUAAGGAACUCGGCAAAAUGCCCCCGUAACUUCGGGAGAAGGGGGACCAUGCCCGGUGAACAUCUUCACGGUGGGAGCUGGGUGUGGUCGCAGAGACCAGAGAGAAGCGACUGUUUACUAAAAACACAGGUCCGUGCGAAGACGUAAGUCGAUGUAUACGGACUGACGCCUGCCCGGUGCUGGAAGGUUAAGAGGACCGGUUAGCCGUAAGGCGAAGCUGAGAAUUUAAGCCCCAGUAAACGGCGGUGGUAACUAUAACCAUCCUAAGGUAGCGAAAUUCCUUGUCGGGUAAGUUCCGACCUGCACGAAUGGCGUAACGACUUCUCUGCUGUCUCGACCACAGACUCGGCGAAAUUGCACUACGAGUAAAGAUGCUCGUUACGCGCGGCAGGACGAAAAGACCCCGGGACCUUUACUAUAGCUUGGUAUUGGCGUUCGAUUCGGUUUGUGUAGGAUAGGUGGGAGACUGUGAAGCAUGCACGCCAGUGUGUGUGGAGUCGUUGUUGAAAUACCACUCUGAUCGUAUUGGACGUCUAACCUCGGCCCAUGAUCUGGGUUAGGGACAGUGCCUGGUGGGUAGUUUAACUGGGGCGGUUGCCUCCUAAAGAGUAACGGAGGCGCCCAAAGGUUCCCUCAGCCUGGAUGGCAAUCAGGUGUUGAGUGCAAGUGCACAAGGGAGCUUGACUGUGAGACUGACACGUCGAGCAGGGACGAAAGUCGGGACUAGUGAUCCGGCACCGGCAAGUGGAAGCGGUGUCGCUCAACGGAUAAAAGGUACCCCGGGGAUAACAGGCUGAUCUUCCCCAAGAGUCCAUAUCGACGGGAUGGUUUGGCACCUCGAUGUCGGCUCGUCGCAUCCUGGGGCUGGAGUAGGUCCCAAGGGUUGGGCUGUUCGCCCAUUAAAGCGGCACGCGAGCUGGGUUUAGAACGUCGUGAGACAGUUCGGUCUCUAUCCGCCGCGCGCGUAAGAAACUUGAGGAAGGCUGUCCCUAGUACGAGAGGACCGGGACGGACGAACCUCUGGUGUGCCAGUUGUUCCACCUGGAGCAUGGCUGGUUAGCUACGUUCGGAAGGGAUAACCGCUGAAAGCAUCUAAGCGGGAAGCCUGUUCCAAGAUGAGGUUUCUCACCACCUUGCGUGGUUAAGGCCCCCUACAGACCAUGGGGUUGAUAGGCCGGAACUGGAAGCGCAGCAAUGCGUGGAGGUGACCGGUACUAAUAGGCCGAGGGCC
This 1477-nucleotide ribosomal RNA is filed under the name metagenome. RNAcentral describes it as "bacterial LSU rRNA". It matches the Rfam family "Bacterial large subunit ribosomal RNA", at positions 1457 to 2925 of the family's 2925-position model. The record is from RNAcentral.